CAUUGGAGAUUAGGAAUAGAUGGUGAAACAAGCAUUUCCACAACUUUACCAUCCAGUCAAUUCUGUUCCACUUAAUCAGGAAUGCGGACACAAGUGGUGUAUGGCUGCCGUCAGCUCAUGCCGUAAGGUGUUGGGUUAAGUCCCGCAACGAGAGCAACCCUCGUAUUUAGUUGCCAUCGUUGAGUUUGGAACCCUGAACAGAGUGAUAAGCCGGAGGAAGGUGAGGAUGGCGUCAAGUCAUCAUGCCCCUUAUGCCCUGGGUGACACACUUGCUACAAUGGCCGAGACAAAGGGUCGCGAUCCCGCGAGGGUGAGCUAACCCCAAAAACCCGUCCUCAGUUCGGAUUGCAGGCUGCAACUCGCCUGCAUGAAGCCGGAAUCGCUAGUAAUCACUGGUCAGCCAUACGGCGGUGAAUUCAUUUC
Ribosomal RNA from Nicotiana attenuata, 423 nucleotides. It matches the Rfam family "Bacterial small subunit ribosomal RNA", at positions 924 to 1374 of the family's 1533-position model. Lineage: Eukaryota; Viridiplantae; Streptophyta; Magnoliopsida; Solanales; Solanaceae. The record is from Rfam.